RNAcentral lists this ribosomal RNA (281 nucleotides) under uncultured bacterium. RNAcentral's name for it is "partial 16S ribosomal RNA". It matches the Rfam family "Bacterial small subunit ribosomal RNA", at positions 29 to 292 of the family's 1533-position model. The record is from RNAcentral.
AACGAACGCUGGCGGCGUGGAUAAGACAUGCAAGUCGAACGGGAACUUCAGCUGUAGCAAUACAGUUGCAGUUUUAGUGGCGAACGGGUGCGUAACACGUGGGCAAUCUGCCGAGAAGUGGGGAUAGCUCGCCGAAAGGCGAAUUAAUACCGCAUAUGAGUCAGCUAAGACAUCUUGGCGACAUCAAAGCCGGGGCAACCUGGCGCUUCCUGAUGACCCCGCGGCCUAUCAGCGUAGUUGGUGAGGUAACGGCCCACCAAGGCGAUGACGGGUAGCUGGUC